GUCACUGGGCCCUGGUCCCAAUCACUGGGUUCUGAUGCUAAUAACUGUGUCCUGGUCCUGGUCCUGGUCCUGGACACUGGGC
This 82-nucleotide microRNA precursor is filed under the name Nannospalax galili (Upper Galilee mountains blind mole rat). RNAcentral's name for it is "miRNA (ENSNGAG00000005314.1)". Lineage: Eukaryota; Metazoa; Chordata; Mammalia; Rodentia; Spalacidae. The record is from RNAcentral.